AUGCACAACUACUAUCUCUCACUGUAUCUUCAUCUUAAAAUCUCUAUCACUUUCCUCUACAGAACCUUCAUCACCAUAAUCAUUCUUGAUUGUAAAUUCACUCUUCAACAACCUCUUGUUGCGCCUCAAUCAUCAUCGCCCUUGCGACUUCGCAGUGUAACGUCAAUAUUCCAUCUUCUUUAA
Molecule: non-coding RNA, 183 nt
Organism: Vicia faba (fava bean)
Lineage: Eukaryota; Viridiplantae; Streptophyta; Magnoliopsida; Fabales; Fabaceae
Source: the annotation of a GenBank genome assembly